RNAcentral lists this long non-coding RNA (337 nucleotides) under Cairina moschata (Muscovy duck). RNAcentral describes it as "domestica (muscovy Duck (domestic type)) lncRNA (ENSCMMG00000012604.1)". The record is from RNAcentral. Lineage: Eukaryota; Metazoa; Chordata; Aves; Anseriformes; Anatidae.
AAGCACAAAGCUCUUGGAUAGACAAAACAGCAUUUAUCUGCUGACUAAUCUAAAAUGGAAGAUGCUAAUACACAGUUUGUAUCCUGGCAGAAUGGAACCUAUAAUGAUGAAGACAGUCUUGCUGCUGACACAUGGAUCAUUCACUUCAUCUAAAGGCUGGGAACUGAUGAUGUUCCUACUAGCUAACAAGAAGUCUGUAAGACUUUGGGAAUGAAGGCCAGCCAGCUGGAGUAAUGGUGAUGGUGGGUGCUCCCAGCUCCAGGAUUCUCCUUGAAUAAUGUGAGGUCAAUGCAUACUUCCUGUACUCUGCCCUACAUUAACUUUUUCAAAUGAAAGA